Long non-coding RNA from Gymnogyps californianus (California condor), 151 nucleotides. RefSeq lists it as uncharacterized. The record is from RefSeq and is a predicted model, not a curated record. The transcript has 3 exons. NCBI's taxonomy places the organism in Eukaryota, Metazoa, Chordata, Aves, Accipitriformes, Cathartidae.
GACUGCUCCCAAAAAAACCCAUGCUGGAGAGGUACAAAAAGAAAAAAAGAGGUGAACAGCUCCCAAAAAAACAAACCCUGAUGUAAUCCGCGAGCUCUGCCAGGUGAUGCACUCCUCCAAGGUAGGUAGUUGAUGCACUCCUCAAAGGCUG